RNAcentral lists this ribosomal RNA (755 nucleotides) under uncultured bacterium. RNAcentral describes it as "bacterial SSU rRNA". It matches the Rfam family "Bacterial small subunit ribosomal RNA", at positions 94 to 826 of the family's 1533-position model. The record is from RNAcentral.
AGUGGCGCACGGGUGAGUAACGCGUGGAUAACCUGCCCUGGUAUCUGGAAUAACAUCUCGAAAGGGGUGCUAAUACCGGAUAAGCCCACGGAGCCUUCGGUCUCUGCGGGAAAAGGUGGCCUCUAUUUAUAAGCUACCGUACCAGGAUGGGUCCGCGUACCAUUAGCUAGUUGGUGGGGUAAUGGCCUACCAAGGCGACGAUGGUUAGCUGGUCUGAGAGGAUGAUCAGCCACACUGGAACUGAGACACGGUCCAGACUCCUACGGGAGGCAGCAGUGGGGAAUUUUGCGCAAUGGGGGAAACCCUGACGCAGCAACGCCGCGUGAGUGAUGAAGGCUUUCGGGUCGUAAAGCUCUGUCAGUGGGGAAGAAAUGAAAGUAGUUAAUACCUGCUUUUCUUGACGGUACCCACAAAGGAAGCACCGGCUAACUCCGUGCCAGCAGCCGCGGUAAUACGGAGGGUGCAAGCGUUGUUCGGAUUUAUUGGGCGUAAAGCGCGUGUAGGCGGUUUCUUAAGUCUGAUGUGAAAGCCCUGGGCUCAACCCAGGAAGUGCAUUGGAAACUGUCAGACUUGAAUACGGGAGAGGGUAGUGGAAUUCCUAGUGUAGGAGUGAAAUCCGUAGAUAUUAGGAGGAACACCGGUGGCGAAGGCGGCUACCUGGACCGAUAUUGACGCUGAGACGCGAAAGCGUGGGUAGCAAACAGGAUUAGAUACCCUGGUAGUCCACGCCGUAAACGAUGAGUACUAGGUGUUGC